This 798-nucleotide unclassified non-coding RNA is filed under the name Hevea brasiliensis (rubber tree). Lineage: Eukaryota; Viridiplantae; Streptophyta; Magnoliopsida; Malpighiales; Euphorbiaceae. The record is from RNAcentral.
GCCGUGGAGGCUACACACGUCUCUCUCUCUCUCACAAGACUACUGCUAGCAGUUGAAAAACCCAAAUCUCUCAACCGCUAAACCCUGGCAUAUCCACACCAACAACAUGAGCGUCGAGCCCUUCAAUCGGUUGGUGAAACUUGCUGCUCGAGCUUUUUACGACGACAUAACCACAAAAGGCGAUAAUCAACCGAAAACGGGGAGGAGCGAUAACAGAGGAAUUGCUGUGGUGGUGCUUGACGCUCUUACUAGACGGCAAUGGGUUAGGGAAGAAGAUUUGGCAAAGGAUUUGAAAUUGCACUCAAAACAACUUCGUCGAACCCUGCGGUUUUUUGAGGAAGAAAAACUAGUUACCCGAGAUCAUAGGAAAGAGACGGCUAAGGGAGCGAAGAUAUAUAGUGCUGCUGUCGCUGCCACCGCUGAAGGUCAACGGACUGCAAAAGAGGGGGAGGAAAAGAUAAAACUACACACUCACUCUUACUGUUGUCUGGAUUAUGCACAGAUAUAUGAUGUUGUUAGGUACAGACUGCACCGCUUGAGGAAAAAGCUAAAGGAUGAACUGGAAAACAAAAAUACUGUUCAAGAGUAUAUAUGCCCUAACUGUGGGAGAAGGUACAAUGCCUUGGAUGCACUACGAUUGGUUUCUCCAGAUGAUGAAUACUUCCACUGUGAGAAUUGCAAUGGGGAACUUGUGGCAGAGAGUGACAAGUUAGCUGCUCAAGAAGGAGGAGAUGGAGAUGACAAUGCAAGGAGGCGACGGCGUGAAAAAUUGAAGGACAUGCUUCAAAAAAUGGAGGU